Molecule: ribosomal RNA, 919 nt
Filed under: uncultured bacterium
Lineage: Bacteria
Description: bacterial SSU rRNA
Rfam family: Bacterial small subunit ribosomal RNA
Source: RNAcentral
UAGAGUUUGAUCCUGGCUCAGGAUGAACGCUAGCUACAGGCUUAACACAUGCAAGUCGAGGGGCAGCGGUAUCGAAAGCUUGCUUUCGGUAGCCGGCGACCGGCGCACGGGUGAGUAACGCGUAUCGAACCUGCCUCAUACUCGGGAAUAGCCUUGCGAAAGUAAGAUUAAUGCCCGGUGUUUUCAGAGUCCCGCAUGAGGCUUUGAACAAAGAUUUAUCGGUAUGAGAUGGCGAUGCGUCCCAUUAGCUUGUUGGCGGGGUAACGGCCCACCAAGGCAUCGAUGGGUAGGGGUUCUGAGAGGAAGGUCCCCCACAUUGGAACUGAGACACGGUCCAAACUCCUACGGGAGGCAGCAGUGAGGAAUAUUGGUCAAUGGGCGGAAGCCUGAACCAGCCAAGUAGCGUGCAGGAAGACGGCCCUCCGGGUUGUAAACUGCUUUUAGUUGGGAAUAAAACGGGGCUCGUGAGCCCCCUUGCAUGUACCAUCAGAAAAAGGACCGGCUAAUUCCGUGCCAGCAGCCGCGGUAAUACGGAAGGUCCGGGCGUUAUCCGGAUUUAUUGGGUUUAAAGGGAGCGCAGGCGGACCUUUAAGUCAGCUGUGAAAUACGGCGGCUCAACCGUCGAACUGCAGUUGAUACUGGAGGUCUUGAGUGCACACAGGGAUGCUGGAAUUCAUGGUGUAGCGGUGAAAUGCUCAGAUAUCAUGAAGAACUCCGAUCGCGAAGGCAGGCAUCCGGGGUGCAACUGACGCUGAGGCUCGAAAGUGCGGGUAUCAAACAGGAUUAGAUACCCUGGUAGUCCGCACAGUAAACGAUGAAUACUCGCGGUUUGCGAUACAGUGUAAGCCGCCAAGCGAAAGCGUUAAGUAUUCCACCUGGGGAGUACGCCGGCAACGGUGAAACUCAAAGGAAUUGACGG